This 164-nucleotide ribosomal RNA is filed under the name uncultured bacterium. RNAcentral describes it as "partial 16S rRNA". It matches the Rfam family "Bacterial small subunit ribosomal RNA", at positions 355 to 511 of the family's 1533-position model. The record is from RNAcentral.
UAGGGAAUCUUCCACAAUGGACGAAAGUCUGAUGGAGCAACGCCGCGUGAGUGAAGAAGGGUUUCGGCUCGUAAAACUCUGUUGUUAAAGAAGAACAUAUCUGAGAGUAACUGUUCUGGUAUUGACGGUAUUUAACCAGAAAGCCACGGCUAACUACGCGCCAG